This 473-nucleotide ribosomal RNA is filed under the name uncultured Magnetococcus sp. RNAcentral's name for it is "bacterial SSU rRNA". It matches the Rfam family "Bacterial small subunit ribosomal RNA", at positions 79 to 587 of the family's 1533-position model. The record is from RNAcentral. Lineage: Bacteria; Pseudomonadati; Pseudomonadota; Magnetococcia; Magnetococcales; Magnetococcaceae.
UUCGGUCCGCUGACGAGUGGCGAACGGGUGAGUAACACGUGGAGACCUGCCCUAGGGUACGGGACAACAGUUAGAAAUGACUGCUAAAACCGUAUACGUCCUACGGGAGAAAUAUUUAUAGCCCUUGGAGGGGUCCGCGUUGGAUUAGCUAGUUGGUAGGGUAACGGCCUACCAAGGCGACGAUCCAUAGCUGGUCUUAGAGGACGAUCAGCCACACUGGGACUGAGACACGGCCCAGACUCCUACGGGAGGCAGCAGUGGGGAAUAUUGCGCAAUGGAGGCAACCCUGACGCAGCGAUACCGCGUGGGUGAAGAAGGUCUUCGGAUUGUAAAGCCCUUUCAGUGGGGACGAUAGUGACGGUACCCACAGAAGAAGCUCCGGCUAACUCCGUGCCAGCAGCCGCGGUAAUACGGAGGGGGCGAGCGUUGUUCGGAAUUACUGGGCGUAAAGGGCGCGUAGGCGGCUCUGCAAG